UUCGUGUGUGUGUGCGUGUGUAUGCAAUGAUGAAAAGUCAGACGAAAGAGUGGGGCAAAAGGGGAGAACGAGAAAGAGAAAAGGAGGAGAGCAAAAGCAGUGGGCAGAGGGAAAACAGUUAUGCAGCUGUGCACAGUGGAGCCUCGGCAAAAUGAUUGACUCAGUUUUCAAUUCACGAUUCCCAAUUGCGCCCACAUUCGACACUAUCCUCUUUGUCAUGGAUUUUCUUCGUCUGUCUUCAUUUUUCUUUUUUAAACUCAAGUUUGUGUGAGCAAACGAAAAUAACAAACGCAGCAGAAACGAGCAAAGAGAACGACAAUGUUAAGAGGAGGAAGAAAAGAGGGGCCAAGAGAUAUAUGCAAAAUUUGUUUUUUUCGCCGAUUUCCAAUCGGUUUUUUUUUUCGAUUAUUUUUGAUCGUUGCGUGGGCAAGAAGAAGACCUGCUGUGCGAGAGGGAGGGAUAGCUAUUUGCACAAGUGUGCGUGUCAGGUUUUGUCUGUUGCGAGUGAGUUGUGUGUGUGUAAGCCAAUUGCGGUUUCUGGCUAGCCAAAACAAAAACAACAACAAUAAUAGAACAUCUAACAGCAAGCCAAGUGAAACACGUGUUUAAAAGUCAUAUUUACAGUUUUAAGUUUUUGAAUUCUAACAAACCAACACAAAAAAACUGAACUGAAAUAGAAAAGCAUAAGAACACGGUAAUAAGUCGGGAAAAUCAAAGUGCAAAACUGAACACAAAAACCCACAGAGUGCGAGCGAGAUAGGAAGAAAAAGAGAGCGCAUGCUGGGCGCCGCAGGAGUAGAAGAAGCAGUGAGAGUGAAGUUUACUGGAAGUGAAGUGAAAAGAGGAGAGCGAGAAGAGACCCAGCAAAAACAACAAAGAACAAUUAGGCGACUAGAAAUCUGUUGUCUUUUUAAUCUACCUCCAAACAUAAGAAAAAGAAAAAGGAAUUCUAAAAAGCACAAUAACUUAAUGUUUAUAAUAAAAAACUAAUAGUAAACCCAAAAAAGAGUGAAACGGGACAACGAGCUGCUGGAGAAACGCCAUCUACCGUGGGCAACGGAAAACAGCAGCUGACAGACGGAGACCGUAAAGGAGAGUGGCAAGCACGCAAAGGAAAAAAAUAAGCUUUAUUUGCCUGGAAGUUAGAAAGAGGGAUUUAACGGCGGGGGCGCUAGCUCCCUAAAACUCCCACAAAUAACACAAAAAUCUUCCGAUCGGACCAGGAAAUAUAAUCAUAUUAGCCAAGUAAACGACACAAAAAAAAGAACCUAGACCAUUUGUCUCUUGCGCUCGCCACAAGAUGGCGUGCCUUAACACCCUGAAGCAGGAAAUCAAGACUUUGGAGAAGAUCUUCCCAAAGAAUCACGAGCGCUUUCAGAUCCUUAAUUGCAGUGUCGAUGAACUGCUCUGCCGAUUUAUCGAUAAGAAUGGAAAGCGCUACGAUAUCCAUGCCAACAUAACGGAAACGUAUCCAUCGUCGCCACCAGUUUGGUUUGCCGAAAGUGAGGAGACGAGCGUCACAAAUGCAGUUCAAAUACUUAGCAAUACAAAUGGACGUGAUAAUCACGUGAUUAAUCAAGUGGGCAUACUGCUGCGUGAGCUAUGCCGACUUCACAACGUUCCACUGCCACCCGACAUCGAUAAUUUGGCCCUGCCGCUGCAAACGCCGCCGCCAUCUGCUUCUCCACUUCGCUGUGAGCAGAGAUCAGGAGGCGGUGGAGCGGGUGGCGGUGGGGGCCCUCACGGCAACGAGGAGACCGACUCGGAUCAAGAGGAGAUCGAAGAUCCCAUCGCAGAGAGCGAGCAGGAGAGCGAGGGCGACGAGGACUUGCCGCUGGAAAUGGAUGAUGUACGAAGUACAAACAAGAAGGACGACAUGGAAGUGGAACAUCUAGCAACUCUAGAAAGACUGCGUCAAAGUCAAAGACAAGACUAUCUAAAAGGUUCCGUUUCGGGUUCCGUGCAGGCAACCGAUCGAUUAAUGAAAGAAUUACGUGAUAUUUAUCGAUCGGACGCCUUCAAGAAGAAUAUGUAUUCAAUUGAACUCGUAAACGAAUCGAUUUACGAGUGGAACAUACGCCUCAAGUCUGUCGAUCCGGACAGUCCGCUGCACAGUGAUCUGUUAAUGCUCAAGGAAAAGGAGGGCAAGGACAGCAUACUACUAAAUAUUCUUUUCAAGGAGACGUAUCCCUUCGAACCGCCAUUUGUGCGCGUUGUUCAUCCGAUUAUCUCAGGCGGGUAUGUGCUCAUCGGCGGUGCCAUCUGCAUGGAAUUGCUGACCAAACAGGGCUGGAGCUCUGCCUACACCGUGGAGGCGGUAAUCAUGCAAAUUGCAGCUACCCUCGUCAAGGGAAAAGCGCGAAUUCAGUUUGGGGCCACUAAGGCACUGACCCAGGGCCAAUAUAGUUUGGCACGAGCCCAGCAGAGUUUCAAGUCGCUGGUGCAGAUUCACGAAAAGAAUGGCUGGUUCACACCGCCCAAAGAGGAUGGCUAAUUCAGAACAGUCCCCAGAUGCACAUCUUUUUUAGAAUAGCUCAUGCCACAACCAACACAAACCCAUCCAAGCGCCUACGGUCCGUCGGAAUUACCUUAUCCUCAACCGCCAAGCACACAUCCCACUCUAACAUUCAGUUUGAUAUGAUAUCUGAUCUGGUCAGGAACAAUUUGGACGGAGCUGCCGAACCCCAAGAAAAAGGCCCACAUCGUUGAUGUUUAAUUACACUUGAAAAACAAAAAAACAAGCACACCUUUGUAGUCGCUGUUAAUGUUCUGUUGCAAGUUAAUUCAUAUUGUCUAGAAAACUGGAGCUGAUUAGAAUGAAGCAGAGUUAGCAGAGAAAUACACAGCCGAAGAGUGUAAAAUGUGAAGGCAAUAUCUGUUAUGUAUAUGAGUAUAAUUUGUAAUUUAGAAAUGUAAAUGUAGUGGCUUGAAAACCUUUCAAACGAACACCACCCGCAACCCCUGCACACACUCCAAACACACACGCCUAAAAUGUAAACUAGUUAUAACGCCUAACUGUAUUCUUAUUUUAACUUAACGAAUCCGUGGUAUCUUAUAUUUUUCUCUUUACAAACAAAAAAAACGGCAAGUUGGCAAAAGUGUCGAUGUGUUGUCGAUCGUAAUAGAUAUAUAUACCUAUACAUACAUAUAAAUAUAAAUAUACAUAAAUAUAAAGGUAAAGAUAUAUAUUAAAAUUAGCGCGAAAGUUUAGCUUAAGCAGAAAAUACAGAACGAUGUGUCGAAGAUGAGCAAAUUCUAAGUGUAAAUUCGUCUUUCCAAAUAAUCGUAAAAUAAAGUAAACCUAAAUCUAAAUCUACAAAAAAAAAAUAAUUAAUGAAGAAGAGCUAAAAUAUAAAGCGAAAUCGAGAAGAUGAGGAACGCAAAAUAUUUGCAUUUGUAAUAUGCAUGAAAGUAAAAAAAACAACAAGUUAAUUCGAGGGCAACUGUUUUGCUGUCCAUAUUAUCAUGUUUUUUUUUAUUCGUACAACGGCAGAAAAAAUUUCAGUGUAUAUUUCAAAACGAAAAUUGGCAAGCACGACGAAAUGUUCAUUUUAAGUAUGUAUUUAAUAAAGAAGAUAUAUACAUGCAAAAAAAAA
RNA transcript from Drosophila ficusphila, 3596 nucleotides. It is a transcript of the gene named ubiquitin-conjugating enzyme E2 Q2, with no coding region annotated. NCBI's taxonomy places the organism in Eukaryota, Metazoa, Arthropoda, Insecta, Diptera, Drosophilidae. The record is from RefSeq and is a predicted model, not a curated record. The transcript has 9 exons.